GAUGAACGCUAGCGACAGGCUUAAUACAUGCAAGUCGAGGGGCAGCAAGACACUUCGGUGUUGUUGGCGACCGGCGCACGGGUGAGUAACGCGUAUGUAACCUACCUUGUACAGGGGAAUAGCCUUUGGAAACAGAGAUUAAUACCCCAUAUUAUCCAUUUUUCAUAAGAAAAGUGGAUGAAAGUUUUAGCGGUACAAGAUGGGCAUGCGUCCUAUUAGUUUGUUGGCGGGGUAACGGCCCACCAAGACUACGAUAGGUAGGGGUUCUGAGAGGAUGGUCCCCCACACUGGUACUGAGACACGGACCAGACUCCUACGGGAGGCAGCAGUAGGGAAUAUUGGUCAAUGGGCGAAAGCCUGAACCAGCUAUGUCGCGUGCAGGAUGAAGGCCUUAGGUCGUAAACUGCUUUUAUGUGGGAUAAAUAAAGUCUCUGCGGAGACUGAUGAUAGUACCAUAUGAAUAAGCACCGG
Molecule: ribosomal RNA, 471 nt
Filed under: uncultured bacterium
Lineage: Bacteria
Description: bacterial SSU rRNA
Rfam family: Bacterial small subunit ribosomal RNA
Source: RNAcentral